This 497-nucleotide ribosomal RNA is filed under the name uncultured bacterium. RNAcentral describes it as "partial 16S ribosomal RNA". It matches the Rfam family "Bacterial small subunit ribosomal RNA", at positions 28 to 507 of the family's 1533-position model. The record is from RNAcentral.
GAUGAACGCUGGCGGCGUGCCUAAUACAUGCAAGUCGAGCGAACAGACGAGGAGCUUGCUCCUCUGACGUUAGCGGCGGACGGGUGAGUAACACGUGGAUAACCUACCUAUAAGACUGGGAUAACUUCGGGAAACCGGAGCUAAUACCGGAUAAUAUAUUGAACCGCAUGGUUCAAUAGUGAAAGACGGUUUUGCUGUCACUUAUAGAUGGAUCCGCGCCGCAUUAGCUAGUUGGUAAGGUAACGGCUUACCAAGGCAACGAUGCGUAGCCGACCUGAGAGGGUGACCGGCCACACUCGAACUGAGACACGGGCCAGACUCCUACGGGAGGCAGCAGUAGGGAAUCUUCCGCAAUGGGCGAAAGCGUGACGGAGCAACGCCGCGUGAGUGAUGAAGGUCUUCGGAUCGUAAAACUCUGUUAUUAGGGAAGAACAAAUGUGUAAGUAACUAUGCACGUCUUGACGGUACCUAAUCAGAAAGCCACGGCUAACUACGUG